CGCCGGGAGCUUUUCUUCUUCCGUUAUACUUUUUGUGAUCUGCAAACUGCGCUCGUGAUACUCGAAGAUAGUCUGAUCUCAUUAUUGUGCUUCAUAUCUAUUUUAAACAAUACUGAGGUACGUGGUCUGAUCUUUCAGGUUAAUGGAGGAAGGAGAAAACAGAAACACGGGCAUUAGCAUCUCCAAUUAGAGGUCCGCGAUGGCAGUUUGAGCUCGAAGCAUUUCUCCGGCAAGUCCCAAGAACAGAAAACUAAAUCGCUGGUCCAGGAGAUCAAAAACAAAAAGGAGGAGUUGCCCAUUCCGACCACACAAACAAGUGUUUGCAGCCCUCACAAUUACUUGUUCGAGGUGGAGACAUCGAGCCGCAUAGACCUGCAAAAAGAAAGGGUUCCCCUUUGCCAAGUGCUUGACGCCGAAAGCCUGUACCGUUCUUCACCACCCUUUACAACCCCUCUGAAACUUUCUUCAGCAGGUCAUCAUGCGUGCAGAGAUGAGGGCUUCAGUCAAAGACACCAUGAUAUGCCUCUCGUUCGUAGCUUAGCAGAGUCCCCACCAUGUGAGCUGUAGCAUACCACUCUCUUCCUUUUCUCAACUUUCAAGCUUACCUGCGUGAGAUGCAAUCUGGCUGAGAGAGUUCCUCGGAUUAAUAGUCAUGGGUUUCUCUUUGGAAGCUUUUUAUGAACUGAAUCAUUCUUGAAUAUAUAAAUCCUAUGGACUUUUAGGUCACAGACACUUCGGAUCAGAAAUGCAAUCUUACCCUUUCCUGAUUUCAAUGUAAUAUUAAGCCUCAUUCUCUUUUGAUCAAACUACUCGUGAUCUACACUCCAUUCUUUAAACUCGUGUUCAGGCACCAUGUCCUGAUUACAAAAGUAUUACAUGAAUUGGCCUUUACCCUUUCCACAGUACAUUGCACACAGAAGUCAGUGGUGUUUCGUGGAGAAUUACCCCACAACAUUAGAAGCUCAAGCUCAGGAAGAUGCUUCAAUUCAGAGACCAAAGCAGGUGAUCAAUCACUGCUGGCGGUCAAGGCUGCAGUGAUAAGGAACAGACGCAGACCAACUGAACUUUGGAGAACGGCAGCAUCUCCCUCGUGCCCAAAAGCUUCACAGACCGACGACCCUCCUCACACUCGUGAGCUGUAUUCAAGAAAAAUAGAAGAUCAAAAGAGAGUCACGGGAGCAAAAAAGAAUCAAUUUUCAGUUCAUUAGAGUUAGUAAUGACCUUUUGGACAGAGCUUAAAAGAAACGAGAAGGCUUUGCACCCCGGAGGGUCUUCUACUAAAAGCUGACGAGCUGCACCAUUCCUAGGGUUCCACAAUGGGGGUCCCAGCCCUAGGAUCUUCCCCUCUUCUCAGAUUCCUCUCGAUUGAGGCGUGGAGGUGUGAUUCUUGGGCAGCUUAGCAGCGUCGAGGCGUCUGCUUCUGAUUUUGGUAGACUGAUUCGGAAAAAAGUAGGUUAAGAUAUGCUCAUGGCUUGUUUCUGUUGAUUAUGAAAAAAUUUGAACAAUCUACUGAAGAUAGUAAUCAGGAGAAGAUGGUGGGCAUACUGCAAUUCUUUGAUAUCGGACAAGCUUGCUCAUCCUGCAAGUCUUUGAUGCUUAGUAGCAGACGCAAUAAUGGUCUUGAAGCUCCUAGAAAUACCUUGGAGUUUCCCAUGAAAAUGUAUCAGAGUUUUCAAGUCGUUCAUGAGGAGAUUCUACAUGGAACUGAUACCGAAAGGUUGAUUGCUGAGGAGAUUCCACAGAUAACAAAGGAUCAAUGUAACAGACCAAGUGUUGUAGCCCGACUAAUGGGAAUGGAUGCGCUACCUUCAGACAUCAAGCCAUUGCUUUGUGCUGAGCAGUUGAAUGAUGAGAAGGGACCAAGAAAGGAGCCCAGCACUACCUCUAAUCAACAGGCCUCACUUGCCUUGAAAUCCAUGAGAUAUUCAAAUACGGAGUUAUUUCCUUACAAUAUCAAACAAGAUUUUGAUCAGCACACCAGGAAGCUUGAGAUGAACAAACCACAGACAUGCGAACAUCCGCAAGAAGAAUUGCUGCAGAAGUUCAAAAGAGAAUUUGAGGCAUGGCAAGCAUCCAAGGUAUGGGAGAAGUCAGUGACCCUUGAACUGGGUAAUGAUCGUGAAAAGAAAAAAUAUAUAAGCACACUUCCACAAGAAGGUGUCGAGAAAGAGAAAGUGUCCAGGCAUGUGGAUCACAAGAGAAGUUCAUUUGUAACGAAAACCACAGAGACCAGAUGGCAUGUUCCAACAGCUAGACCAAACAUGAAUCAGGAACAAGAUGAUCUUCUGAAAUAUGAGGCUUUUGCAAGUGAACAUAAUGAAAAUGCCCUAACAGAGGAGAAUUCUCCCAGGGACAACAGAAGUAGUUUCUUCGCUCCCCAAUAUGAUCAUAGGAUGAAUAUGUCUGCUUCACCUCGAAGGAUAGUAAUUCUUAAACCUUGUUAUGAGAUGUACCAUAAAACUGAAGAGUCCUUAGGCUCAUGAGUGAUGGUAGAUAAAGAAAAGAACAUGCAUGAUUUUCUUGAACAGGUAAAGGAAAGAUUGAUUGUUGAACUACAAUGGAAGCCUAGAUUUGAGACUGCAACUGAUUGGACUAGGCCUGAGGCUUUUGUCACUAAAGGAUUCGCUGAUUCUAAAUAUUUGGUACCAAAAUGUCUUAAGCAAAAUAGAGGCGAUUCUGAGGAUAACAAGGCUACCCUAAUGCGACCAAAAUCAACAAGGACAUAUAGAAAUGAAAUCCAACCUAGUGAAAAAGCUUCCCCGGAGAUUAUCGACCAAGAAAUGAUAACACCAUUGUCAGAGAGGGUGAAGAAUGUCCUGAAGGAUGAAACAGAUAUAAGGUAUCCAUUUAAUUCCAGUAGUACGCUGACUAUGUCACUCUCAAGCAAAGAAGCAGAGAAAUUCAAUUUAAUUCAGCAAUUUGGCAAGAAGGUAACCUCCUGGGAUGAUACGAAAGCCCUAAUUGGAUCCAAAUCUUUUAAACAAGACCAGGGGCAUGCAUUUGAUGAUGGGGAGGAGUCUUCAAGAAAUCUUGUCAGAUCAUUUUCUGCUCCUGUUUCUGGAAUUGCUUUUGGGAAACUACUUUUAGAAGACAAGCAUUCAAUGGCAUCAGUACUCACUUGUAGGAAACAUGAAGUAUCUCAAAAUGACUUAAUGGAAGCCAGGAAAAACAAGAAUGGUGCUUUUGACAUGAAAAGCAGAGUUACAUGUUUGAGACAGAAUUUCACAUUAAAGGAAAAGCUUUUCAGGAAGAGGAUCCAAUUGAUGGAUGAAUUAGCUGAAGAUGAAUUUCCAUCCAUGAAGACGACUGAAAACACACCAUUUGUUUUGAUGAACUUAGGCUUUGCACAGGAUAACUCAACUGAGGUGCCACCAAGCCCAGCAUCGGUGUGCCGCAGUUCACAUGAUGACAAUUGCAGGCCCUACUAUCCAAGUCCAGUAUCUCCACUGGAGGCACUUCUCCAUGAAGAUUAUCCUUCCUCGACAGCUUCUGGAGAACCAAAUCUUCCAGAAUCAAGUUUGUCAGAAGAAUUCAAGAAUGAUAGAUCUGGAGACAUAACAGAUGAAAUAAAACCAGCCAAAGAUGAACUUCUUGAGUUGGAAAGCAAUGCAAAAGCUUAUGUAAGAGAGAUCCUCUUUAGGUCUGGCCUGUUCAACAGAAACCACUUUGAUCAGGUCCUUUGGGAGUCUGACACUCUAAUGAAACCAAUAUCUAUGUCGGUCUUUCAUGAAGUCGAGGAAACAUAUCGAAGAAAUGGCAAGCUGGAAUGUAUGGCAUUCCUCGUACAUAAUGGCCAAACUGAUUUAGGUCAUAGAAUUCUAUUUGAUCUACUGAAUGAAGCAUUGCUGAGGGUUGUGCAGAAUUCAAAGCCUCACUCAACAGUCAAGAAAUGGUUUCCAGGCUGCAGAAGAUUACCGCAUGGAAACCAAAUCUUAGACAGUCUCUGGCAUCAGAUUCAACUCUACAUCAAUCCACAUGUGGAUGAAUCAUAUCCUACAAAAAGCAUCGUCGCCCAAGCUCUGAAUCGGACUCCCUGGUCUGGUAUGUUGCAAGACAACAUCGACGUGAUCUGUGUAGAGAUGGAGUUUUCGGUUGCGGAAAUUUUGAUCGAUGAGUUCGUGUGCGAUUUGUCAUAUUAAUUUAAUGUUUGGUGAACAAAAUCUUUUAUAGAGUGAAAUCUUGUUCUACACUGCUUGUCGGAAAGCUUAAGCUUUUAGGUGCAAUAACAUUGAUCGAAAUCUUGUUCUACACUGCUUGGCGCCGCCCCGCAUGCUCAAGGAUUGCAGCAGCACACCGCGUGUGCCGCAGUUCCCCUCCGCCGGCCGAGCACCCGCAGGAAACAAGACAACGGAAUUACGAUUGCCGUAACCAGCAAGGAGGAAGGACAAGAGAAGGAACGGCUGGGAUCACCUGCAGGCGUCGCCGCCGGGGCACGGGACGGCGCAGCCGCACCCGUUGUUGCAGCCCCUAUCCGCCAUCGAUCAAAGUCCACCGCGGCCGGUCUCUCUCUACUGGUCGA
This is an RNA transcript of Musa acuminata AAA Group (dessert banana), 4519 nucleotides long. RefSeq lists it as uncharacterized. The record is from RefSeq and is a predicted model, not a curated record. NCBI's taxonomy places the organism in Eukaryota, Viridiplantae, Streptophyta, Magnoliopsida, Zingiberales, Musaceae. The transcript is spliced from 7 exons.